This is a long non-coding RNA of Rhagoletis pomonella (apple maggot), 1434 nucleotides long. RefSeq lists it as uncharacterized. The record is from RefSeq and is a predicted model, not a curated record. Lineage: Eukaryota; Metazoa; Arthropoda; Insecta; Diptera; Tephritidae. The transcript has 4 exons.
UGAUACGCGGUUUUGCACUUUAAACGACGAUAUGUUAUACUUAUGUUAUCUUAUAUAGCGUUUUCUUUUCUACACGAAUAUGUUGCCAUACCGAGGUGCGAAAGUCGUUUAAAGUUGCACUUCGCCCUGUGAAUUUGGCACCCUGCUUAAGGUUCAGUGUAGCCCUUCAGACUUACACAGGAUCACAAACUGCAGCCCUGAAAUGCAAUCAGCUGUUUUCUCGAGCGCUAAACGGAGUGCAGCAAAAUAGUUACAGUAUGGACAGAAGGCGAAACAAGACUCUUGCUGGAUAAGUACGCUUCCUUUUUUCCGGACGUUGGGAUCUUCGAGCAGUUAAAGACAAAGAAGGAAAUGUGGAUGAAGAUUGGCGCUGAGUUCGACGGGAAAAGUUGGAAGCAGUGUGAAGAGAGGUAUAAGACCAUCUUGAAACGAAAAAAGGCGGCAGUGGAAAACAACAGCAGCUCAGGUGCAAAACGCCAAAAGCUGCAGUUUGAAGAAGAGCUAGAAAAAAUUUGCAAACUGGAUGAUUCCAUUGAACCGGCAAUAAAACUGAGUAGCCAAUGUGUAGUUAAUAAAGAGGUCUCACCAAAAGAAAAUUAAAGAAAGAAGAAAACGAUGCAAGAAACUCUAGUUGAAAUUGCUGCUAGGAAAGAGAAAGCCAGGGAGAAGCGACACAAGGAAAGAAUUGAGAAAGCUACAAGAAUCGAAAGCCUUAUGGAAAAAUGUUUGACUGAAAGCAAACCAGCUUAAACCUGUGGGUGUGCGCGAUAUAGUUAUAAAAUCAGCUCUUGGUUUGCAGGCUUCUGCAAAUGGAUGUAAAAUGAUUGCAAGUGCCUUUCGUUUCCGGCCGAACGUUUCGCCAAAUAACAUUUUCACCGGCGCCCUUCGCUCAUUUACAACAACUGCCUUUUCUCCAUCACCACAUCAUGUCAUUGACGGCCAAAUCCACAUCACCUUUAUACGGCGUGUUCGGAAACACUGCUCUUGCUAGUGGUUCGGAUUUCGGAGCAACUUGAACAGCAACAACGGCACCAACAGAACAUUCGGUUUAACCCUGACAAACCUGUACUUGUACAAACAUUCCCCAAGCCAUACAAAUAUACCCACAUUGACGUUGCUGCCAGUGAUUUUGUAUUGCCAGAUGAGCCGACCGUUGCACCAAUCGUGGCAUUGGCAAAAACACAUUUAUAGAUUUAGGCGUAUAACUAGCGUUUGCAAUUAUACGACAGUUGACGAUUUAUUUAUUUCUUUUUAACUUGAAUCCAUUUUUAUAAUAAUAGGAUUCAUUCGAUAAUAAUAUUAUAUAUAUAUAUAUAUAUAUAUAUAUAUAUAUAUCACGAUUGAAAGAAUACAAAGCUUGCGCCGAUCUCGCUAUUCCUCUACAUUUUUUCAUGUGCUAAAAAUCGUGCUUACCUAAAGGGCUACAUGUCCGAA